Non-coding RNA from Ceratotherium simum simum (southern white rhinoceros), 1632 nucleotides. NCBI's taxonomy places the organism in Eukaryota, Metazoa, Chordata, Mammalia, Perissodactyla, Rhinocerotidae. The record is from RefSeq and is a predicted model, not a curated record.
ACGUAUUUAAUGAAAUGAAUGAAUGGAGUUCCAGUACUAGAAACAUUUGUAGUAAAACCACUGGACUUUUUCAAAACGCAACUGUUACAAGUGGAUAACUAAGUAAUCUGAAUCUUGCAUUAGUAUUAAAUUUUAAAGCAAAUGUCUAGAAUCAAAGUAGACAAGACACAUUACAUAAAAUUUUACAUUUAUUUAGGCAAAAAAAAAAAAAUCCCCCAAACAAAAAUCUGUACAUACAACAUUAACACCUAAGUGAUGUCCUGAUUUAAAAUAUAGCAUGAUUCAUGUACAGAACACUCCCAUUCAUCUGGCCACAGUGAGGACAGCGCCUUCAGUCCAGAUAAUUGAGAGAGAGCCUUUGAAACGUAUACACAUUACACUUUCCAAUGAACUUUUCAUAUCUUUUGAAAGGAGUUAAACUCUUCCAUCAGAAUUCAAGCAAAAGACAGCUUUUCACACUCACAAGUCAGUGAGAAUUUGACAGUGGGAAUUCUACAAAAGUCAGGGAUUUUUAUUUUAUUUUAUUCUUGCAGAUUAUCUGAGAGCAUAAAUCUUGAUAUAACAUCUUUCCAUUUUUAAAGGGAAAAAAUGCUUUUAAGAAUUUCCUGCUUUUAUGAAAGUGUGUCUCAGCUUUCAUUAGCUGAGUCGCUUCUUGCUUCUAAGCUGAUUAAAAUAAGCUUAAAAGAACCCAAUUCGAACAGUUUUCCCAAAAGUAAGUCCCAAAUUAAGCACAUACUAUUAAAGAACUAGAUUUAUGAUUUCCCAUACAAUAAUUUUGAUAAAUUUGGGAUUCUCUAAAUAUUCUUAAUAACCAGUCUGUCUAGCUAUAAAGUUAGGUUGUGCUGUUCAAAAGAGCUUUGCUUCAUCCAGAGAAAUGAGAAACAGCAUUAUUUUCCCAUAAUUUACCCCAAAAAACUGGGGAGGGGAGAAACAGGCAGAGAAAGCUCUUUCUUAGGCUACCAACCAGUUGACAAAGAGUGUCUUAGGUUAAGAUUUGGAAAUCAAAGAAUGCAUAAUUAGGAGUGUACCGUGUCAUGCAAAGUCUAUGAAAUGCUAAAAAAGAUAAAGCAUUUACUCAUUUAAAGCACAUUCAGCAAAUUUUUCUAUCAUAUUGCUAUUCUCAUCACUGGAUGAAGGCUGGAUUUGCAUUAUUCCUAAAAUGAACAGUUCAUGAGUUAACACUAAAAGUUAAAAAUGUGUCAAUACAAAGCAAAUGGUAAAGAUUAAACAUCCAAUAUCCACACAAUCAUCUGAAACUGCUACAAUGGAUUUGAGAGGGAAACCUUAAGUUUGCAAACCUCUCUGUAAGCUGUCUUAAAACACUACUCUGAGGCCCUAGCCAUAUAAUGUCCCCAAAUAAGUCACAUACAGAUAAAACUGCCCACAUCAGCUGACAGUAUGAUACUGCCUUUAACUUACACCUUUAGUUUAAUAAUACUGUUUGUCCCAAGAUAAAAGUUGCACAAUAAUCAAAUAAUGUAAACAUACCAUUAGAGGGAGGAAAAGAGUGGGUUUCAACGUACACAAAACAGUAAGCUUCUUAUCCCUGCUACUCAUGACCUCUUUUCAACCUUGCAUACUGCUGCACAUUGUUCUAUGGUGGGUGGGUGGGAGGUGUCUAGCUUUAAAAUA